UUACGGUCAGAUCACGUUGCCAAACCAUUUUCCGUGCGAUCGCCGAAGUUAAGCAACGUCGAGCCUGGUCAGUACCUAGAUGGGUGAUAGCUUGGGAAUACCCAGUGCUGUAA
Acanthosepion pharaonis is the source of this 113-nucleotide non-coding RNA. The record is from the annotation of a GenBank genome assembly. NCBI's taxonomy places the organism in Eukaryota, Metazoa, Mollusca, Cephalopoda, Sepiida, Sepiidae.